ACAUGGUGCCAGAAGUGGGAUCCCAUACUGGGUUCUCCAGCCCAACGACUGAUGUCUCGUCAAACCCGUGCUGCCCGGCCUGUACCCCAGCAGCUUCUGCAGCCACAGGUCCGUUC
Amblyraja radiata (thorny skate) is the source of this 116-nucleotide long non-coding RNA. RefSeq lists it as uncharacterized. Lineage: Eukaryota; Metazoa; Chordata; Chondrichthyes; Rajiformes; Rajidae. The record is from RefSeq and is a predicted model, not a curated record. The transcript is spliced from 3 exons.